AAUGAACGUUGGCAGCGUGGAUUAGGCAUGCAAGUCGAGCGACAAGGUCCCUUCGGGGACUGGAGGAGCGGCAAACGGGGUAGUAAGGCAUCGGAACGUACCCUCUUGUCCGGGAUAGCCGCGGGAAACUGCGAUUAAUACCGGAUAAUCUCAGCGCUUGUGAUGAGUGCUGAGCAAAGGUCCGCCGCGGGAGGAGCGGCCGAUGUGAUAUCAGGUAGUUGGCGGGGUAACGGCCCACCAAGCCUUCGACGUCUAGGGGAUGUGAGAGCAUGAUCCCCACCACUGGGACUGAGAUACUGCCCAGACACUUACGGGUGGCUGCAGUCGAGAAUCUUCGCAAUGGGCGCAAGCCUGACCGAGCGACGCUGCGUGCGGGAUGACGGCCUUGGGUUGUAAACCGNUGUCAGAGGGGAUGAAAGCGCAAGCUUGACAG
RNAcentral lists this ribosomal RNA (433 nucleotides) under uncultured bacterium. RNAcentral's name for it is "bacterial SSU rRNA". It matches the Rfam family "Bacterial small subunit ribosomal RNA", at positions 29 to 475 of the family's 1533-position model. The record is from RNAcentral.